This 253-nucleotide ribosomal RNA is filed under the name uncultured bacterium. Its description in RNAcentral is "partial 16S ribosomal RNA". It matches the Rfam family "Bacterial small subunit ribosomal RNA", at positions 524 to 776 of the family's 1533-position model. The record is from RNAcentral.
CACGUAGGGUGCAAGCGUUGUCCGGAAUUAUUGGGCGUAAAGGGCUCGUAGGCGGUCCGUCACGUCGGGAGUGAAAACUCGGGGCUUAACCCCGGGCCUGCAGUGGGUACGGGCAGACUAGAGUGCGGUAGGGGAGACUGGAAUUCCUGGUGUAGCGGUGAAAUGCGCAGAUAUCAGGAGGAACACCGGUGGCGAAGGCGGGUCUCUGGGCCGUAACUGACGCUGAGGAGCGAAAGCGUGGGGAGCGAACAGG